UAUAAAUAUUUGGAAUUCAUUACUCAUCUAGCUUUCAGAUUUUUAAAUGUUACAAUAUUGAUAGAUGUUAAAUAUGUUUGAUCUACAUUACAGUAGGUAUUAUUAUUUAUGUUCGCGACAUUAUUUGUAUAUAUGUAAUCGUAGAGAUAAUUUAUAGUUGUUAAGUCCGUAGUUUUAAUCGUUUUUGUAUACUGUUAUUUUACAUAGAUUUUACAUAGAUUUAAGAUACCUAUAGUGUAAGUUAAAUAAAGCAUUCUUUGUGUGUUGUUAUUAUUACCUGCGAAUAGAAAUAGAAAUUGUAAAACAAAUAGAAAUACGCAAAUUGUAAUAAAUAAAUAGACGCUAUAUGGUACCGUUCUAAAGAGAUACGCGUCUCUUUCACUCUCGCCCCGUCCCGCUCGCACAGACUCGCUAACGCGAGUUAGAAAUGUUAUCGUGCGACCGGGCGGGUAUAAAGAUAGGCCGCCUCCCGUCGAGCGGCAUUCGCUUCCGAGCAGCGACGCACUACACUCGAGAAGAAAUAGGACAAGAAGAAAAAUACUCUCUUCAGACGGUACCGGAGGCUUCAGAAUAGUAAUCGCUGCGUUUCACUCCAGCCUGAACCAACGCCCCUACAGUCCACGCUCACCGUUCAACGACUCAGCUAAGAAAUAUCAGCCAUUUUAAUAAUUAAAAUUAAUAAUAGAAAUGGUGAAAAUUAUAAAAUUCUUUUUGAAAAUUGACAGAUAAUAAAUACCGACGUUGCCACAUUUCGCCAAGCUAAAGUUAUGAAUACUGUUAAUUCUAAAAAAGUAAUUAUUUAAGACUAGCUCCUUAAAGGGUUUUUUCGUAAACAUAUGUACGCAAUGAGCAAAGAUAAAGACCUUCUAUGCAAGAACAUAGAGAUGUUCUACGCAAGUUCAUAAAAUGAAAGCGAUAAACUGUAUCUAAUAAUUAUUCACUUAACCAAUUUCAAAUUGGUUUAAAAUUUAAAUCCAUUUAGUUAAUUUCUAAAAUAAAUAGUUAAUAGUUACAUUUUUUCAUCAAUAUGCACUCCUAAUUUAAAAAAAAAAAAAAUUCAAUAUACAGACUACAGUUCAGAAUACUAUUAUAUAGACCUACUUAUAAAUUAAAACAUCAAUACUAACAAAAUUAACUCUCUGUCUGUAUGUUGCUUGAACCUGGAUCCAGUGUUGUGGGGUUGCUGGAGGUGUGGGAUGGGCACCAUUAAAGCAAACACAUAAUGAUACUUGGUGCUCAGCAAGAGCCUGUGCUAAUGUAGUCAAAAAUUGAACGCAUCGAGCCCAUUGUCCUCCACAUGCCCAAUCUAUAAAAAUAAAAAAGGUAUUUUAAUUGUUUACAAAAUAGUCACGAUCAUUAUAAUCAGGAUUCAAAUUUUAAAUUGGAUUCCAUAUUGAAUAAAAUGGGUCUAUUAUUCAUAUGAUACAUUAUUUUAGAUAUUAAACAUGCCUGCUUAAUACAUUAAACGCAUCCAAAAGAGCAAUCAAUCCCUCAAAGUCCAUAAUAAAUUUUCAAAGCCAAUAUCUUGAGAGGUAUGACAUAUUUUUUUUUUAUUUCAAUUACAAAAGAAUUAUACUCUUAUUCAUAUAUAGUAAAACCUUAUACAAACCUAACCAAUUUUGUACUUUUAUAAUAAUAAAAAACCUGUUAUUAGCCUUAAUAUUUUAAAUACUAGUAUGUAGAUCUUAACUGUAACGCCUUUGGUUUCUAAUAAAUAAAAACCUAUUUUAAAGAUUACACUGUAUUGCCACUUUUUUGAGAAAUUAACACAAAAGAGACAAAACAGUUCAAUAACUAAAAGAGAUUUAUAAGAGGUUUGUCGUUUUUAUAAGGAGGUAUUUAGAAUUUUUUUUUUUUGUUGAUCACUUUAUUUGACUUGUUUCGAAAUCUACAAAAUACAGAUAAUUACUUAAAAGGAUUAAUAAUUAAAGCUAUGCCAUACCUUAUACAGUUAAGUAAGUGUACCAAAUGUUAUCAAUAUUGUAAUAAAUAUUGUGUAUGUCAACCUUCCCCAAAUAAAUGUAAAUAGCAUUUUCGUAAUAAAAAGUUACAUACCUA
Long non-coding RNA from Galleria mellonella (greater wax moth), 2058 nucleotides. RefSeq lists it as uncharacterized. The transcript has 2 exons. NCBI's taxonomy places the organism in Eukaryota, Metazoa, Arthropoda, Insecta, Lepidoptera, Pyralidae. The record is from RefSeq and is a predicted model, not a curated record.